GAUUAUCCCAUUGACUUUUAUUCACCUUUACAAAACCAACAUAAAGAAGGAGGAAAGCCUUUCUUUGGAAAGAUGUCCCCUGAAGAGAAAGAACAAUGGAUCUUAAAAGUCAUACACCAAAAUAAACAGUAAGCCACAAGAGAAUAAUGGCCAUAAAUAUUGUCACAUUCACAUCUAAAGCAAUGGGAACCUGACACAAGAGUACUGCUUAACUCUUAAAAAUGUAUUAACUAAGGGGUCAAAAAAUAAAUAAAUAAAGCAAAUGGUAUGGAAACACUUA
Long non-coding RNA from Trichomycterus rosablanca, 280 nucleotides. RefSeq lists it as uncharacterized. Lineage: Eukaryota; Metazoa; Chordata; Actinopteri; Siluriformes; Trichomycteridae. The transcript is spliced from 3 exons. The record is from RefSeq and is a predicted model, not a curated record.